GACAGCAGCAGCCACGGGAAUUCAGAGGGUGCGAGCGUUAAUCGGAUUUACUGGGCGUAAAGCGUGCGUAGGCGGCUUUUUAAGUCGGAUGUGAAAUCCCUGAGCUUAACUUAGGAAUUGCAUUCGAUACUGGGAAGCUAGAGUUUGGGAGAGGAUGGUAGAAUUCCAGGUGUAGCGGUGAAAUGCGUAGAGAUCUGGAGGAAUACCGAUGGCGAAGGCAGCCAUCUGGCCUAAUACUGACGCUGAGGUACGAAAGCAUGGGGAGCAAACAGGAUUAGAUACCCCCGUAGUCUCUGUCUCUUAUAC
This 306-nucleotide ribosomal RNA is filed under the name uncultured bacterium. RNAcentral's name for it is "partial 16S ribosomal RNA". It matches the Rfam family "Bacterial small subunit ribosomal RNA", at positions 507 to 807 of the family's 1533-position model. The record is from RNAcentral.